UACGUAGGGUGCGAGCGUUAAUCGGAAUUACUGGGCGUAAAGCGUGCGCAGGCGGUUCGCUGUGUCCGAUGUGAAAGCCCCGGGCUCAACCUGGGAAUGGCAUGGGAAACUGGCGGGCUGGAGUGUGGCAGAGGGGGGUGGAAUUCCGCGUGUAGCAGUGAAAUGCGUAGAGAUGCGGAGGAACACCGAUGGCGAAGGCAGCCCCCUGGGCCAACACUGACGCUCAGGCACGAAAGCUAGGGUAGCAAACGGG
RNAcentral lists this ribosomal RNA (253 nucleotides) under uncultured bacterium. Its description in RNAcentral is "partial 16S ribosomal RNA". It matches the Rfam family "Bacterial small subunit ribosomal RNA", at positions 524 to 776 of the family's 1533-position model. The record is from RNAcentral.